AGCGAACGCUGGCGGCAGGCCUAAAACAUGCAAGUCGAACGGACCCUUCGGGGUUAGUGGCGGACGGGUGAGUAACACGUGGGAACGUGCCCUUUGGUUCAGAACAACUCAGGGAAACUUGAGCUAAUACUGAAUAAGCCCUACGGGGGAAGAUUAUCGCCAUUGGAGCGGCCCGCGUUGGAUUAGCUAGUUGGUGAGGUAAAGGCUCACCAAGGCUACGAUCCAUAGCUGGUCUGAGAGGANGAUCAGCCACACUGGGACUGAGACACGGCCCAGACUCCUACGGGAGGCAGCAGUUAGGAAUCUUGCGCAAUGGGCGAAAGCCUGACGCAGCCAUGCCGCGU
This 344-nucleotide ribosomal RNA is filed under the name uncultured bacterium. RNAcentral describes it as "bacterial SSU rRNA". It matches the Rfam family "Bacterial small subunit ribosomal RNA", at positions 29 to 402 of the family's 1533-position model. The record is from RNAcentral.